UAUAUAUAUAUCAAUUUUAUUUUGUUGUUGCUCAUCAAAACAAAAAAAAAUUUUAUAAUUUUUAUAUUUUCACAUACAUAUACACAGAAAAUACAGUCCGAAAUUAUCUGUCACUUUUGGCCAUUUUUUCUGUUCUGUUCUGUUUAUUAUCCAAAUGAGUUUUGAUGGAUGGAUGGAUGGAUGGAUGGAUCAAUGCAUGGAUGAUGACCUCGUUCUUAAAACUUUUGAUUUUAAUUUCAAUUAAAUUAAAUUUUUUUUUUUUGAUAAAUAAAAACAUUUCUAAACAUAA
Molecule: non-coding RNA, 289 nt
Organism: Dermatophagoides farinae (American house dust mite)
Lineage: Eukaryota; Metazoa; Arthropoda; Arachnida; Sarcoptiformes; Pyroglyphidae
Source: RefSeq, a predicted model, not a curated record